This 501-nucleotide ribosomal RNA is filed under the name uncultured bacterium. RNAcentral's name for it is "partial 16S ribosomal RNA". It matches the Rfam family "Bacterial small subunit ribosomal RNA", at positions 29 to 523 of the family's 1533-position model. The record is from RNAcentral.
AUUGAACGCCGGCGGCAUGCCUUACACAUGCAAGUCGAACGGCAGCACGGGUGCUUGCACCUGGUGGCGAGUGGCGAACGGGUGAGCAAUACAUCGGAACGUACCUUAUCGUGGGGGAUAACGCAGCGAAAGCUGUGCUAAUACCGCAUACGCCCUGAGGGGGAAAGCGGGGGAUCGAAAGACCUCGCGCGAUUAGAGCGGCCGAUGCCUGAUUAGCUUGUUGGUGGGGUAAAAGCCCACCAAGGCGACGAUCAGUAGCUGGUCUGAGAGGACGAUCAGCCACACUGGGACUGAGACACGGCCCAGACUCCUACGGGAGGCAGCAGUGGGGAAUUUUGGACAAUGGGGGCAACCCUGAUCCAGCAAUGCCGCGUGAGUGAAGAAGGCCUUCGGGUUGUAAAGCUCUUUUGUCAGGGAAGAAACACCGGCUCUAACACAGUCCGGGAAUGACGGUACCUGAAGAAUAAGCACCGGCUAACUACGUGCCAGCAGCCGCCGUAA